RNAcentral lists this ribosomal RNA (440 nucleotides) under uncultured bacterium. RNAcentral's name for it is "bacterial SSU rRNA". It matches the Rfam family "Bacterial small subunit ribosomal RNA", at positions 339 to 796 of the family's 1533-position model. The record is from RNAcentral.
CUACGGGAGGCAGCAGUGGGGAAUAUUGGACAAUGGGGGCAACCCUGAUCCAGCCAUGCCGCGUGAGUGAUGAAGGCCUCAGGGUUGUAAAGCUCUUUCGGCGGGGAAGAUAAUGACGGUACCCGCAGAAGAAGCCCCGGCUAACUUCGUGCCAGCAGCCGCGGUAAUACGAAGGGGGCUAGCGUUGCUCGGAAUCACUGGGCGUAAAGCGCACGUAGGCGGAUUGCUAAGUCAGGGGUGAAAUCCUGGAGCUCAACUCCAGAACUGCCCUUGAUACUGACGAUCUCGAGUCCGGGAGAGGUGAGUGGAACUCCGAGUGUAGAGGUGAAAUUCGUAGAUAUUCGGAAGAACACCAGUGGCGAAGGCGGCUCACUGGCCCGGUACUGACGCUGAGGUGCGAAAGCGUGGGGAGCAAACAGGAUUAGAUACCCGGGUAGUCC